AUUGAACGCUGGCGGCAGGCCUAACACAUGCAAGUCGAGCGGAUGAAGGGAGCUUGCUCCUGGAUUCAGCGGCGGACGGGUGAGUAAUGCCUAGGAAUCUGCCUGGUAGUGGGGGAUAACGUCCGGAAACGGGCGCUAAUACCGCAUACGUCCUGAGGGAGAAAGUGGGGGAUCUACGGACCUCACGCUAUCAGAUGAGCCUAGGUCGGAUUAGCUAGUUGGUGGGGUAAAGGCCUACCAAGGCGACGGUCCGUAACUGGUCUGAGAGGAUGAUCAGUCACACUGGAACUGAGACACGGUCCAGACUCCUACGGGAGGCAGCAGUGGGGAAUAUUGGACAAUGGGCGAAAGCCUGAUCCAGCCAUGCCGCGUGUGUGAAGAAGGUCUUCGGAUUGUAAAGCACUUUAAGUUGGGAGGAAGGGCAGUAAGUUAAUACCUUGCUGUUUUGACGUUACCAACAGAAUAAGCACCGGCUAACUUCGUG
Molecule: ribosomal RNA, 484 nt
Filed under: uncultured bacterium
Lineage: Bacteria
Description: partial 16S ribosomal RNA
Rfam family: Bacterial small subunit ribosomal RNA
Source: RNAcentral